This 421-nucleotide ribosomal RNA is filed under the name Bacillus sp. HGH0027. RNAcentral describes it as "bacterial SSU rRNA". It matches the Rfam family "Bacterial small subunit ribosomal RNA", at positions 79 to 485 of the family's 1533-position model. Lineage: Bacteria; Bacillati; Bacillota; Bacilli; Caryophanales; Bacillaceae. The record is from RNAcentral.
CUUGCUCCCUGAGAUUAGCGGCGGACGGGUGAGUAACACGUGGGCAACCUGCCUAUAAGACUGGGAUAACUUCGGGAAACCGGAGCUAAUACCGGAUACGUUCUUUUCUCGCAUGAGAGAAGAUGGAAAGACGGUUUACGCUGUCACUUAUAGAUGGGCCCGCGGCGCAUUAGCUAGUUGGUGAGGUAAUGGCUCACCAAGGCGACGAUGCGUAGCCGACCUGAGAGGGUGAUCGGCCACACUGGGACUGAGACACGGCCCAGACUCCUACGGGAGGCAGCAGUAGGGAAUCUUCCGCAAUGGACGAAAGUCUGACGGAGCAACGCCGCGUGAACGAAGAAGGCCUUCGGGUCGUAAAGUUCUGUUGUUAGGGAAGAACAAGUACCAGAGUAACUGCUGGUACCUUGACGGUACCUAACCA